RNAcentral lists this ribosomal RNA (449 nucleotides) under uncultured bacterium. RNAcentral's name for it is "partial 16S ribosomal RNA". It matches the Rfam family "Bacterial small subunit ribosomal RNA", at positions 29 to 523 of the family's 1533-position model. The record is from RNAcentral.
AACGAACGCUGGCGGCAGGCUUAACACAUGCAAGUCGAACGCACUCUUCGGAGUGAGUGGCAGACGGGUGAGUAACGCGUGGGAAUCUACCCAGUCCUUCGGAAUAGCUCCUGGAAACGGGAAUUAAUACCGGAUACGCCCUUUUGGGGAAAGAUUUAUCGGGAUUGGAUGAGCCCGCGUAAGAUUAGCUAGUUGGUGGGGUAAUGGCCUACCAAGGCGACGAUCUUUAGCUGGUCUGAGAGGAUGAUCAGCCACACUGGGACUGAGACACGGCCCAGACUCCUACGGGAGGCAGCAGUGGGGAAUAUUGGACAAUGGGCGCAAGCCUGAUCCAGCCAUGCCGCGUGAGUGAUGAAGGCCUUAGGGUUGUAAAGCUCUUUCACCGGUGAAGAUAAUGACGGUAACCGGAGAAGAAGCCCCGGCUAACUUCGUGCCAGCCGCCGCCGUAA